UGCAGCAAUGCAAGGCAUACGGCUCAGUAACGCGUAGUCAACCUAACCUAUGGACGGRAAUAACCUCGGGAAACUGAGAAUAAUGYCCGAUAGAACACYAUACCUGGAAUGGUUUGUGUUCCAAAUGAUUUAUCGCCGUAGGAUGGGACUGCGGCCUAUCAGUUUGUUGGUGAGGUAAUGGCCCACCAAGACUAUUACAGGUACGGGCUCUGAGAGGAGUAGCCCGGAGAUGGGUACUGAGACACGGACCCAGGCCCUAUGGGGCGCAGCAGGCGAGAAAACUUUGCAAUGUGCGAAAGCACGACAAGGUUAAUCCGAGUGRUUUCUGCUAAAGGAACCUUUUGUUAGUYCUAGAAAYACUAACGAAUAAGGGGUGGGCAAGUUCUGGUGUCAGCCGCCGCGGUAAAACCAGCACCUCAAGUGGUCAGGAUGAUUAUUGGGCCUAAAGCAUCCGUAGCCGGCUCUGUAAGUUUUCGGUUAAAUCUGUACGCUUAACGUACAGGCUGCCGGGAAUACUGCAGAGCUAGGGAGUGGGAGAGGUAGACGGUACUCGGUAGGAAGGGGUAAAAUCCUUUGAUCUAUUGAUGACCA
Molecule: ribosomal RNA, 591 nt
Filed under: uncultured archaeon
Lineage: Archaea
Description: bacterial SSU rRNA
Rfam family: Archaeal small subunit ribosomal RNA
Source: RNAcentral